GAAGGUGGCGAGCGUUGUUCGGGAUUUACUGGGGCAUAAAGGGCGAGUAGGCGGUCUGGCAAGCGGGCGUGUGAAAUCCCGGGAGCUCAACUCCGGGAACUGCACACCGAACUGCCAGGCUAGAGGACGAGAGGGGGGUGUGGAACUCUAGGUGUAGCGGUGAAAUGCGUAGAUAUCUAGAGGAACGCCGGUGGCGAAAGCGACACCCUGGCUCGUCCCUGACGCUGAGGCGCGAAAGCGUGGGUAGCAAACAGGAUUAGAUACCCUGGUAGUCCACGCCGUAAACGAUGAGCACUAGGUAGCCGUGGGAACCGACCUAUGGCUGCUGCAGGAAAUCCAUUAAGUGCUCCGCCUGGGGAGUACGGUCGCAAAGGCUG
RNAcentral lists this ribosomal RNA (377 nucleotides) under uncultured organism. RNAcentral's name for it is "partial 16S ribosomal RNA". It matches the Rfam family "Bacterial small subunit ribosomal RNA", at positions 527 to 896 of the family's 1533-position model. The record is from RNAcentral.